UCGUGCGUUGGCUUAGCGUGAUCGUGCGCCGGCUGUGGUUCGGCUUAUUGGGCUACGGCUGUGACUCUGUCUGGGCUCCCCAAUCUUUCCUUUGAAUAAAACGAGUGGCCGCUUGCAAUUUUCACUUAGUUUGAGUCUGAACGGCGACUGCGCCGGCGUGUCCGUGUGUGUGCGCGUGUGUGUGUGUGUAUGAGAGAGAGUGUGUAUUAGUCUCGUGCAAUUUUGUUCUCACAUUGUUUUUGUUUCACGCCUUUUUUUAUUGUGAGCAGCGCGUGUGGCGCAUGCGUAGCAGCAAUAAUGAUCAUAAAACGACAAUCACAACAACAACAGAAGCUGCAACAACAAUAGAAUUAAUAAAGUGACGAAAACUAAUUCAAUAUUGAAAAUCGACGACCCAAAUCGCCGUUGCUCCCCACAGUAUUUACCUGACAUCAUCAUCAGCAUCAGCAUUAUCAUCAUUAUUACAAUCAGCAAGAACGUCGGCGUUUGCGGUUGACAUCUUUGCGGGCUUCAUUCAGAGGAAAAAAAUUAAAAUAAAUAAAUAA
This is a long non-coding RNA of Drosophila navojoa, 545 nucleotides long. The record is from RefSeq and is a predicted model, not a curated record. Lineage: Eukaryota; Metazoa; Arthropoda; Insecta; Diptera; Drosophilidae.